UCCAAGUCUCUGAUCUUCUUCUGAUAGCUGGCCUCAGCUCUCUGCAGCCUCAAGCACUCCCGGUGUUCUGCAUCUAACAUGCUCUCCAUCUCCUCGUAGGAUCUCUUCUUGUUUCUCAGUCUGCUAGCAUCUUCUUCUCGCACUCCUCUGAGUUGAUGAGCCAAAUUCAACCUAUCAGCUUUGGCUUUGUACAACUCCAUCUGGGUAUCUU
This 211-nucleotide long non-coding RNA is filed under the name Lathyrus oleraceus (garden pea). Its description in RNAcentral is "Pisum sativum (pea) long non-coding RNA (PSAT_LNC004820)". Lineage: Eukaryota; Viridiplantae; Streptophyta; Magnoliopsida; Fabales; Fabaceae. The record is from RNAcentral.